CAAACUUCCACCACCUCCGAUAUCAGGAUCAAAACUUUUCAGUUUCUGGCCACCCCACAAGCAAAACCUUCCACCAGGACCCAAACCAGGGCUGAUCAUAAGAAACCUAAACCUCAUUGGCCAUCUCCCCCACCGGUCCCUCCACAAAGUGUCCCAAAAAUAUGGACAAAUAAUGCAAGCUUCAAUUCGGGUCUAUCCCAAUGGUAGUGGCCUUGUCUUCAGAAAUGGCAAGGCAGUUCUUAAAGACAAAUUAUCACCUCUUUGCCUCUAGGCCUCAGACUGCUGCUGGCAAGUACACUGCUUAUAACUAUUCCAACAUCAUCUGGGCACCUUUCGGUCCAUAUUGGCGUCAGGAGAGUAAAAUCUACCACACAGAGCUGUUCAACUGGAAAAAGCUCGAGUCUUAUGAAUAUAUUGGGGUCGAAGGAAGGUGGGCUUUCAUCUCCCACCUCUAUGCGUUGUCAGGAAAGCCAGUCAUGCUUAAAGACCAUCUCUCUCGCGUUACUCUCGGCGUUAUAAGCAGAAUUGUACUGCGGGAGAAGUAUUCAAUGAGUCUGAAUCCGGGAGGUCAAUAGUGACGGUGGAAGAGUUCCAAGAGAUGCUGGAUGGGUUGUUCUUGCUUAAUGGUGUGUUGAAUAUUAGGGAUUGGAUACCGCGGAUUGCAUUCUUGGACUUGCAGGGGUAUGUGAAGAGGAUGAAGGCUUUGCGCCAUAAAUUUGAUAGGUUUUAUGAUCAUGUGCUUGAGAAACACAGGGCCAGUUGAGAAGCAGAGGACUUUGUGGCUAAGGAUAUGGUGGAUAUGCUUCUGAGAUUGGUCGAUGAUCCUGAUCUUGAGGUUAAGCUCGGUACUGAUGGGGUCAAAGGGCUUACCCUGGUUAAUGUUAUAUGAGUUAGGAACAUAUCCAGCCAUUCAAAUUAGGCCUAUUCUAUUGAAAUCUCAUGAUAAUUUUGCUUGUUUGGUUGUUUCAUGGUCAGGACCUGAUUGCUGGUGGUACAGAUAGCUCAGCUACUACUAUGGAAUGGGCGAUGUCUGAGAUCUUGAGGUAGCCAAGCACAGCUAAUAAGGCAACUGAAGAGCUGGAUAGAGUCACAGGGAGAGAUAGAUGGGGGGAAGAGAAAGACAUCCCCCAACUUCCUUAAUAUAGAUGCAAUUGUGAAGGAGACAAUGAGGCUACACCCUGUCACUAGCUGUCCUGCUAGCACCUCACCUGGCUCUUCAUGAUUGCAAUGUAGCUGGCUGUGAUAUUCGCAGAGGAACCCAAGUCCUUGUAAACGCAUGGAGCAUAGGACCCCAACAUAUGGGAUGCACCGGAGGAAUUUCGACCAGAGAGGUUCCUAGGGAAGGCAAUUGAUGUGAAGGGGCAAAACUUGAGCUGCUGCCAUUUGGUUCAAGGCGGAGGAUGUGUGCUGGAUACAGGCUUGGCCUAAAGAUGAUUCGAUCAAGCUUGACUAACAUGCUGCAUGGAUUCCACUGGAAAUUGCCUUGGGAUAUGAAGACAGAAGAGCUGAACAUGGAGGAAGGUCCCGCUUGUUGCUGUCAUGGAGCCUAGACUUCCAAGUCAUCUUUACUAGUCGUGCCUUAGACCUAUGUUUUCUUAAUCUUAUUCAGGUUUGUGCUGUGGUUUUACUGAGGUUCUGGCGUAAAGCGGUUUCUGAAUAAAUGGUUUGGGAUUUUGGUGACCUGAUCUUAAGCCUAUGGCCUUGAUGGGAACUUUCUUUUUUCGGUUCCUUCUGUGCUUCUCCUCCUUCCUUUAUCUCCUCCUUAUGCAAGUCAUUUUCACUUUGGACUGUGUACAUAAAGGGCCCAAUAGGAAUAUCUUGGUAGUCCUGGAGAGGCUCCAGGGUCUUAACCACAGUGCUCAUUGUUGGUCUAUGCUUUGGCAUGUGGCUCAUGCACCAGUAAGCCAAUGCAGCAGCCUUUUGAGCCCCUGCUUCUGAGUAUUGGCCUUCAACUCUUGGAUCCAUUAUUCUGGUGAGCUUCCUGGAAUAGUUCAGUUGAGGCCUAGCCCAUUCUGCUAGGUUCUUCUCCCUGUUAGGCCUGGUCUUGUCCAUUGAUCUUCUCCCAGUUAGUAGCUUCAAGAGCACCACUCCAAAGCUGUAAACAUCGCUCAUUGCUGUCAAAUGCCCUGCAAACAAGCAAACUUCUUAUUUGUACUCCAAAGGAAUAUGCCCUUAACAUUCAAUCUAGAUUGGAUUAAACCUUACUGAAUUUCCUGUGAUAAUGUACUCUGGAGCAGCUUACCCUUGUGUCCCCAUGACUCGGGUUGAAACAUGCGUGUCAUCGCCUUCAGGGCCGUCUUUUGCUAAACCAAAAUCUUAUAAUUUGGGAGUAUGAUCCUGAAAAAGGUAUCAACAAAAGGUCAGCGAUCAUAAACAAAGCCAACAAUAAUGCUGAAGUGGAUGAAUUAGAACUCGCCACAGGUAACAGUAUGAUCCCCAUUUUAUAGGCAGCAUGAUACCCAUUUUAUAGCUAACAUGGGAAUUCGUGUUGUUAGGAAUUGGAAGGAACACGAAAGAAAAUCAUCAUUAAUAAGAUUCCUUCUAUUAUUAGCCUGUCAAUGAAACUAAGACAUGUUAUAAGAUCAUAGAUUGUUAGCCCUUGGGGGCUGUCUAACUAUGUUUUGAUGAUAACAACAUAAGAUGAAGUGUACUGAGUUGUUUGAAUUAAGAAAAGUUUCAAGUUUUAUUGAAAAUUUCAAAAGAAAGAUAAAGAUUGUCUAAAAAAAGAUUUGAAGGACACGAAAAAAUGAAUCCUUAAAGAUUUAUAAGGUUUAAGAAAUUUUGUAAGAUGAAUCUCUUGCAUGUGUUUAGGAUUAAACUGAUUUUUAUACACUUUUAAUGCAUUCAUUUAGAUUUAGGCGACAUUUGUUUUUUUAACUUUUUACUGAAAGCAAAUUGCUUUCAGAUUUCAAAUUGUUUAUUUCUUCACUUUUUGUUAAUUUAUUAUUUAUUUAAAAAAAAAUUUUAUUGAAUAGAAAAAGAUAAAAUAUUUGAUUUUUUUUUUUAAAGUUAAAAAUAACAUUGGUUUUUGUUUAUUUUUUAAUACUUAAUAAAAAUGAAAUAUUAAAAAACAAACAACUUGAGUGCAAUUGAAAUCCCAUAUCAAUAUUAAGAUCAAUUUUAAUAAUAUUUAUAAUGUCCAUAUAAUUUUAAAACAUAUUUAUACAAUAAAAAAUGGCCUACUAUAUAUAAUAUGUUAGGAAAAGAAAAUUUUUCUCCACAGAAGUCGAGUUUUACAAAAUCCUACCACAAGUCAAUAAAAAAAGAAAAAUGUUUGACGUAAGUUGAGAUUAGAGUUUGAAAUUACAAGUAAUGCAAGUGUAAAGUUUUCAUUAUGCAUGUUUGUGCAAUUUUCCUUAAAUCUUGAAAGUCACGGAUAACAAAAUAUGACCAUAAUCCACCAAUUCAUACACUAAAAAAUAUCUUCUAUAGAGGGAAUAGUCCUGAACCAUAAAAAAUAUAGAGACAGGCCGGCCAUGGGGUGGGUUCAAUUAUUAUUGAGAUCGCUCAUGGGGUGAAACAAUUUUAUUCUAUGCAACUUGAUUAUUGAGAUGGUGAUGGGGAUAAAAGAAGGUCCACCCUUAAUGUCAGGACAAAGAAGCAUGUUGCCCAUGAUUUUCUGAAAAGCUAAACAUAUUCUAAACAGUACUUCUUGCAAGCCCAAAGACACCAAAGUAGUGCAUCAGAAGAGCUUGGAAAGAGGUGUUGGGUGCUAGGUCAAUUUUUCGAAUAGAUCAAAAGAAAGCUAAAGAUUGUCUAAAAAAGAUUUGAAGGACACCAAAGGAUGAAUCCUUAAAGAUUUAUAAGGUCUAAGAAAUUUUGUAAGAUGAAUCUCUUGCGUGUAUUUAAUAUUAAAUUGAUUUUCAUACAUUUUUAAUGUAUUCAUUUAGACUUAGUUGACGCUUGUUUUUUUAACUUUUUGUUGAAAGCAAAUUACUUUUAGAUUUUAAAUCAUUUAUUUCUUAAAUUUUUUUAUUAAAUAGAAAAUAAUAAAAUAUUUGAUUUUUUCUUAAAGUUAAAAAUAAUAUAUUAGUUUUUAUUUACUUUUUAAUACUUAAUAGAAAUGAAAUAUUUAAAAACAAACAACUUGAGUGCAAUUGAAAUCUCGUAUCAAUAUUAAGAUCAAUUUUAAUACCAUUUAUAAUGUCCAUAUAAUUUUAAAACAUAUUUAUACAAUAAAAAAUGGCAUACUAUAUAUAAUAUGUUAGGAAGAGAAAAUUUUUCUCCAUAGAAGUUGAGUUUCACAAAAUCCUACCACAAGUCAAUAAAAAAAGAAAAAUGUUUGACAUAAGUUGGGAUCAGAGUUUGAAAUUAUAAGUGAUGCAAGUGUAAAGUUUUCAUUAUGCAUGUUUGUACAAUUUUCCUUAAAUCUUGAAAGUUACGGAUAACAAAAUAUGACCAUAAGCCAACAAUUCAUGCACUAAAAAAUAUCUUCUAUAGAGGGAAUAGUCUUGAACCAUAAAAAAUAUAGAGACAGGGCGGACAUGGGCUGGGUUCAAUUAUUAUUGAGAUCGCAGAUGGGAUGAAGCAGUUGUAUUCUAUGCAAACUUGAUUAUUGAGAUGGUGAUGGGGAUAAAAGAAGAUCCACCCUUAAUGUCACGACAAAGGCAUAUUCCAAACAAUACUUCUUGCAAGCCCAAAGACACCAAAGUAGUGCAUCAGAAGAACUUGGAAAGAGGUGUUGGGUGCUAGGUCAAUUUUUCGAAUAGAUUGAAGUAAAAUGUUUGUUUAUGAAAAUUUUUUAAAUACGAAUUGAUAAUGUGAAAGGUACAGUAUUGUUUUAUAUUUAAAUUGAAAGUGUCAAUUUUUUGUUUUUUCUGAUCUCCAUGCAUUACAUAACUCCAUCAGAAAUUCCCGGGGUGAGUAAUAGGAUUUGACGAUAGACUUAAAAAGUCAUCUAUAGACACUUUAUACGUAAUCAUUCUAGAUAACACUUGUAUUCUCUGUAUUACCUGAUAUAAAGUUAAUAGAUGCUCAUUCCUAUAUAUAUAAUGAUAUCUCAAAAGAUUUAAUUUUUUAUUAUAUUUAAUUCUUUUUAUUUUUCUUUAUUGAGUUAUCGAAUUGACUUUAUUUAUUAUUCCACUUUUUAAGAACAAGUGAUAUUGAUGUAAAAGGAUCGGGAUAGAAAUGAUAUUUUGAUUAGAAGCAACUUUGGAAUUGAUUAUUUAGGAUUAUUGACUUAAAGACUAAUGUCAUUUAUAACUUCUACAAUUUUUUAUUUAAAUGUUAUUAUUGAGCUAUUUUAAUUAGUUUUGAAUUUAUUGGUAAUGUAUUAAGCUCUGACAUGUGAAAUGAGUCUGGUACCUUUAGCUUUUGCGUUGGAGACUUUCUAUUGGGUAGGCUUGGCCGAAGUCCCACUCUCAAAUCACUACCAUAAAAGUUGUUUCCUUGUUAGGAGAAAUGUCCAAGAAAAUUGCAGACUGAGGCCCCAUGAACGAGAAAGGAGGUCAAUUAUUGAAGCACUCAUUCAUUUAGUUCUGCUGUGCAACUUCUGUUUAUGCAUCAUCUUUAUAUAAAAGGUUUCAUGGGAGGGCCAAGAGGAGAUACAUAUGAUCAGGCAUGAUAAAAGCAUGGUGUUCCCAUACACUUUAACAUGAUAAACAGGGCAAGGAUUAAUGAGCAUUCUUGUAGUCAUAACAUCAAGAAAUAUCCCCCAAUUGAAAGAGACUAAGGUAGUAUUUAGUUUUUUAACUUAAUACUCAAUGUAAUUUACUUUCAAAAUUUUUAAAUAGAAAAAACAAAAAUAUUUAAUAAUAAUAAAAUAAUAAAAAAUAAAUGAUUUAAUAUUUAAUAGUAUUAAGUUAAAUAAAAUUCCAUUUAAAUUUAAGUAAAAAAGCCAAACACGAAAGUAUUAAACUAUAGUAUCCAAUAUUAGCCUUGGCCAUUAGUUGAGAAGGUUGCUGUUCUCCUCCAUGGAUGCAAUGACAGAUUCUUCUGUGUUAAAUUUAUAAAUGUUUUCUCUCUGCUUUUGUGUCAUCUUGGUGGACACUGGAAGAUCAAGCCAUUUAAGUAAGACAUUUUUAUUGGGUUUUGGUGAGUGAAUGAUAUCUCUGAGUGAUACACCUUUUUUAUUUUUAUUUUUAGCUUUUACCUUAUGUUUAAUUCCUCGAAACUAAGAAGGAAAGCAAUUUUUUUUUUAAAUUAUCUUCUCAUAUUAAUUAUUCUAUAUAAAAUAGGAAAAAAAUCAAAUAUAAUUAAAAUUAAUUAAAAAUUUAUAUAUUUUCAAAUUAUUUAAUCUUAUUUGAAAAGAAUUAAAAAAAAAUAAAAUGAAUUGAAAAUAACAUAUAAAAAUAAUUUAUUAAUAUUAAAUAUAUUUUUAUUUUUUAUUUCCUUCCAUUUUUCUUCUUUACUUUCUUUUUCCCUUCCAAUCAAACAUAAUGUUUUAAGUGUUUAAUAAAAUAUUUAAACUCUUGUAAAUGGUUGAAUAGUACUACCAAAAUGUGAUUCACAUGAGUUCAAUAUAUGCUUUCCACCAGCUUAUUUGCUUAUAAAUAGUCCCCCGUUCCUCAAACUUUCACCACCAUUAAUGGAGGCUCCUUCUUGGGUUGUUUUGGCCCUAGCAUGGCUAGCCUCAGUAGCCCUUCUCUCAAAAGUUUUCAGUUUCCGGCCACCCCACAAGCAAAACCUUCCACCAGGUCCCACACCAUGGCCGAUCAUCGGCAACCUAAACCUCAUUGGCCAUCUCCCCCACCGGUCCCUCCACAAACUGUCCCAAAAAUAUGGACAAAUAAUGGAGCUUCGAUUUGGGUCUUUCCCAGUUGUAGUGGCCUCAUCUUCAGAAAUGGCAAAGCAGUUCUUAAAGACAAACGAUCACCUCUUUGCCUCCAGGCCUCACACUGCUGCCGGCAAGUACAUUACUUAUAACUACUCCAACAUCACCUGGGCUCCUUACGGUCCAUACUGGCGCCAAGGGCGUAAAAUCUUCCUCACAGAGCUGUUCAGCUCGAAAAGGCUCGCGUCUUAUGAGUACAUUCGGGUUGAAGAAAGGCAGGCUUUCAUCUCCCGCCUCUACGCAUUGUCAGGAAAGCCAGUCAUGCUUAAAGAACAUCUCUCUCGCGUUACUCUCGGCGUUAUAAGCAGAAUUGUACUGGGGGAGAAGUACUUCAGUGAGUUCGAAUCCGGGAGGUCGAUGUUGACGGUGGAAGAGUGUCAGAAGAUGCUGGGUGAGUUGUUCUUGCUUAAUGGUGUGUUGAAUAUUGGGGAUUGGAUACCGUGGAUUGCAUUCUUGGACUUGCAGGGGUAUGUGAAGAGGAUGAAGGCUUUGCGCGAUAAAUUUGAUAGGUUUUAUGAUCAUGUGCUUGAGAAACACAGGGCCAGAAGAGAAGCAGAGGACUUUGUGGCUAAGGACAUGGUGGAUAUGCUUCUGAGAUUGGCUGAUGAUCCUGAUGUUGAGGUUAAGCUCACUACUGAUGGGAUCAAAGGGUUUACACAGGUUAGUGUUAUUUGAGUUCAUGAACAUAUCCAACCAUUCAAAUUAGGCCUGUUCUAUUGAAACCUCAUGAUAAUUUUGCUUGUUUUGUUGUUUCAUGGUCAGGACCUAAUAGCUGGUGGUACAGAUACCUCAGCUACUACUCUGGAAUGGGCGAUGUCCGAGGUCUUGAGGCAGCCAAACAUAGCUAAAAAGGCAACUGAAGAGCUGGAUAGAGUUAUAGGGAGAGAUAGAUGGGUGGAGGAGAAAGACAUUGCCCAACUUCCUUACAUAGAUGCAAUUGUGAAGGAGACAAUGAGGCUACACCCUAUUGUUGUCCUGCUGGCACCUCACCUGGCUCUUCAAGAUUGCAAUGUAGCUGGCUAUGAUAUUCGCAGAGGAACCCGAGUCCUAGUAAACACAUGGAGCAUAGGGAGGGACCCCAACAUAUGGGAUGCACCCGAGGAAUUUCGACCAGAGAGGUUCCUAGGGAAGGCAAUUGAUGUGAAGGGACAAAGCUUUGAGCUGCUGCCAUUUGGUUCAGGGCGGAGGAUGUGCCCUGGAUACAGCCUUGGCCUAAAGAUGAUUCAAUCGAGCUUGGCUAACAUGUUGCAUGGAUUCCACUGGAAAUUGCCUUGGGAUAUGAAGACAGAAGAGCUGAACAUGGAGGAAGUUUUUGGACUGACAACUCCAAGGAAGGUCCCACUUGUUGCUGUCAUGGAGCCUAGACUCCAAAACCAUCUUUACUAGUCGUGCCUUAGACCUAUGUUUUUGAAGAUGAUCGGAAAAGUGUCCUUCUAGCUCGAUUGCAUGGGCUGGUUUUUAUAUAACAGGGUUGCCUGGCCAUGUGGUAGGCUGGUCAGUCAUUUUCCUGCCUUUUACAAGAAUACAAAAAUGCCUUUUGACUAAUAGGCAAAGGCAGUCAGCUUUCCAUCAAGCGUUUGGUGUGUUAUUAGUUCACCUCGUCAGGUAUUCUUCUUGGAGGGUAGCACGUUGGGGAUGUACUGCUUUUUGGCACCUCCAGUUUUAUUAAUAUUAUUCAGUUGUGUGUAAUGGUUUUGAUCCGUUAAUUGUAUUUCUUCUGUUCUCUAUCCAUGAAUGCAUUAGUGGCUUGCUUAAUUAAUAACAAACCUUUGAAAAAUGAGGUUACUGAUGUUGUCAAAGGAUACACAUAAUUGUAUUUAGACACAUGGCAGAGUGAUCCCUGUAUAAGAAACAAAAUAAGGAAUAUGGGAGUUUAUAGAGAUACGACACCUCGUACACUACUACAUCUCAUCUUCAUCAACCCUAGACCUUUAUCACCUUUUAACAUGUCGGCAUGCUGCAUGCCACUUCUAAUUUUGUUGGUGAAUAAAGCGUAUGUGAUUCUAUUGGAUGAUUAGCUUCUUAUUGUCAAAAAGGCGCAAAAAAUAUCUUACAGUAAGCAAAAAAGAUUAUCGACAGGCUGCCAUGCAUAUCAUAUGCUUAAAACAUUCUUGUCCUUAUUCAAAUUCAGUCACUUUCCUUAAUCUUUCAUCAAUCUAAUUUCUUCCUUAAGUGCUAUUCCAACAACCCUAUCUUAUCUUAAAUUUAGAGACAUUUAUAUAAUUUGAAAUUUUAAAAAGGCUUUUUUUUAAAAAUAAAUAUUUAUAUAAUUUUAAAAUUUUGUGAGAAAACAAAUGAGAUAUUUUCAUUAUUUUGGUCUUUGCAAUCACCCACUAUCUUUAUUUAUUUCCCAUAUUAUAAAAAAUUGAAAAGAUAAAAUAAAGAAAAUAAAUACAGAAAGUCUUCAAAGAACAGAUUACUUUGUUGUACCAUUUAAAAGUAAGAGUCUAACCUUGAUCCAUCUUUAUAUAUGUAAAUUAAAAUUCUAAAUAUAAUUUAGGUGGUGAUAAAUUUUAUUUCAAAUUUAAAAACUUAGGAGUAUUUACAAAUGUUCAUCAUAAAAUAAAAGAAAAAUAAAAGGAAAGUAAAGAGGCAAGAUGGAGAUGGGGAAAAAAAUUAGGGAAAAUAAUAAUAAUAAUAAUAAUAAUAAUAAUAAUAAUAAUAAUAAUAAUUAAAUAGACAUAGGAAAAUAAUUUUUAGAGUUUUAGUUUAAAUAAAUAAUUGAAAAAAAUGGAUUAUAAAUAUAAUUGAUAAUAAGAGUUUUAUAUAAAUUGGCAAUUUCCUAUAGAUGAAAAUAAUAUUACUUAUAUAGAAAAUUAGGAAUUAGAGUAUUAAUAAUUACAUCAAAGAGAAUAAUAUUAAUGCAAAUGGUAUCAAGAACGUCAAAUACUAAUUUUUAAUUUUUGAUAAAUAGCCGAUUGAAAUAAUUAUUCUUUGAACUAUGUUAUGUUAUGUGUGGAUUAAGUUCUUUAUGAUCAAGUAAUGUUUUUAUGAAAUGUAUUAUGAUUUUAAAUUGGGAAUUUCGAUCAUAUGAUUUAUUGAUCAUUGUGUAAGUGGAUUUUAGUUUAUAAUUUAUUAUAAUGACUUUGAAAUUUUGAUUAUUAGUGGUCUUGCUCAAUAGAGUAUAAAUUAUUAACCUUCGUUACCCUUGAUAGGGGGUAGUGAUGCUAUGCAAUCCUAACCAAUAAGAUGCUAUUAACCUUUGGUAUGCUAUUGAUUGAAUGUUGAUGGGGGAACAAAAUGAAGCUACCCAUCUAGUGCAAAUUCCAUUAUUUGGUUAUAGUGUUAUUAUCAGCGAAAUAGAGUAAAAUAUUUAUUUAUAAAAUCAUUUUGAACAUGAACUUCUACUAUUAAGUGUAUUAUAUUGUUUUAUACUUUUUGAAGUGUCAAUUUUUUUUCAAAAAAAAAAUGUAAACUUAAUUAUUAAAUUAAAUGAGUAGAUUUUUCUUAUUGACUUAUUUUUUCUUAUCGUGUUAAAUAUCGAAUUCACUCUUUUUUUAUAAUUCCACUUUUCAAUUACAAGUGAUGCCAAUGAAGAGAGAUUGUAAUAUAAUUAAGAGUGUUUUUAUUAUAAACAGUUUUGAAAUAGAUAUUGUUUAUGAUUAUUAACUUAAGACUAAUUGUAGUUGUAACUUCUAAAAAUUAAAUUUUAUAGAAUCAUUGAAGUCAUCGUUGAGAUAUUUUAAUUAUUUUUGGUUUUGCUAGUCAACUUAAUUUAUGUAUUAAGUUAUUGGAUUUGACAUGUGAAAUGGCUGUGAUGCUCUUAGCCUUCGGGUUCGAGGUAUCAGAGCCAUUGUCAUCACUUCACGGCCUUCCAACUGGGUAGGCUUGCUCGAAGUCACACCCUCAAAUCACUAGCAUGAAAGCUAGCUUUUACCUUGUUAGGUGAACCGGCUUAGGAAACUGUAAACUGAGAUCCAAUCAAUAAGCAAGAAGUUCAAUUAUUGAAGUUCUUAUUCAUUUGAGUGCUCUUCGACUACUUUAUGUAAAAAAUUUCAUGAAAGGGCCAAGAGGAUAUACAUAUGAUCAGGCAUGGAUGAUGCUUGGUGAUCCCAUACAGUACUCUCACGUGAUAUACGGGCCAAGGAUUAACGAGUAUUCUUGUAGUAAUAACGUUAAGAUAUGAACCCUAAUGGAAAUACUAACUAGAACACGCACGAAAGUAUUAAGCUAUGGUAUCCAUUAGCAUUGGCCAUUAGUUGAAGGUUGCAGUCCUCUAUAGAUCUCCAUUAAUGAUUCUUUUGUGUUAAAUUUAUAAAUGUUUUCUCCAUACUUUUGUGUCAUAUUGGUGGACCCUGGAAGAUCCGUCCUUACAACCAGCCAUAUCAGUAAGACAUUUUUAUUGGGUUUCUGGUAAAUAAAUAUUAGCAUAAAUUGGAAGGCGGUGGCUGUCCAUUUCUGCAGUGAUACACCAUUGUCUUUUUUAAGCUUUUAGUAUUUAAUAAAAUAUUCAAGCUUUUGUAAAUGGUUGAAUAACACUAUCAACAUGUGAUUCACAUGAGUUUAAUAUGUGAUUUCAACCAUGGCCAAUCAUGGGCAACCUAAACCUCAUUGGCCAUCUCCCCCACCGGUCCCUCCACAAACUGUCCCAAAAAUAUGGACAAAUAAUGGAGCUUCGAUUUGGGUCUUUCCCAGUUGUAGUGGCCUCAUCUUCAGAAAUGGAAAAGCAAUUCUUAAAGACAAACGAUCACCUCUUUGCCUCCAGGCCUCACACUGCUGCCGGAAAGUACACUAAUUAUAACUACUCCAACAUCACCUGGGCUCCUUACGGUCCAUACUGGCGCCAAGGGCGUAAAAUCUUCCUCACAGAGAUGUUCAGCUCGAAAAGGCUCGAGUCUUAUGAGUACAUUCGGGUUGAAGAAAGGCAGGCUUUCAUCUCCCGCCUCUACGCAUUGUCAGGAAAGCCAGUCAUGCUUAAAGAACAUCUCUCUCGCGUUACUCUCAGCGUUAUAAGCAGAAUUGUACUGGGGGAGAAGUACUUCAGUGAGUUCGAAUCCGGGAGGUCAAUGGUGACGGUGGAAGAGUGUCAGAAGAUGCUGGUUGAGUUGCUCUUGCUUAAUGGUGUGUUGAAUAUUGGGGAUUGGAUACCGUGGAUCGCAUUCUUGGACUUGCAGGGGUAUGUGAAGAGGAUGAAGGCUUUGCGCCAUAAAUUUGAUAGGUUUUAUGAUCAUGUGCUUGAGAAACACAGGGCCAGGAGAGAAGCAGAGGACUUUGUGGCUAGGACAUGGUGGAUAUGCUUCUGAGAUUGGCUGAUGAUCCUGAUAUUGAGGUUAAGCUCACUACUGAUGGGAUCAAAGGGUUUACACAGGUUAGUGUUAUAUGAGUUCAUGAACAUAUCCAACCAUUCAAAUUAGGCCUAUUCUAUUGAAACCUCGUGAUAAUUUUGCUUGUUUUGUUGUUUCAUGGUCAAGACCUAAUAGCUGGUGGUACAGAUACCUCAGCUACUACUCUGGAAUGGGCGAUGUCCGAGGUCUUGAGGCAGCCAAACAUAGCUAACAAGGCAACCGAAGAGCUGGAUAGAGUUAUAGGGAGAAAUAGAUGGGUGGAAGAGAAAGACAUUCCCCAACUUCCUUACAUAGAUGCAAUUGUGAAGGAGACAAUGAGGCUACACCCUGUUGCUGUCCUGCUUGCCCCUCACCUGGCUCUUCAGGACUGCCAUGUAGCUGGCUAUGAUAUUCGCAAAGGAACCCGAGUCCUAAUAAACACAUGGAGCAUAGGGCGGGACCCCAAUCUAUGGGAUGCACCUGAGGAAUUUUUCCCAGAGAGGUUCCUAGGGAAGGCAAUUGAUGUAAAGGGGCAAAACUUUGAGCUACUGCCAUUUGGUUCAGGGCGGAGGAUGUGUCCUGGCUACAGCCUUGCCCUAAAGAUGAUUGGAUCCAGCUUGGCUAACAUGUUGCAUGGAUUCCACUGGAAAUUGCCUGGAGAUAUGAAGCCAGAAGAGCUGAACAUUGAGGAAGUGUUUGGACUGACAACUCCAAGGAAGGUCCCACUUGUUGCUUUCAUGGAGCCUAGACUCCCAAGUCAUCUUUACUAGUCGUGCCUUAGACCUAUGUUUUCUUAAUAUUAUUCAGUUGUGUGCAAUGGUUUUAGUCUGUUAAUUCUAUUUCUCCUGUUCUCUAUCCAUGAAUGCAUUAGUGGCUUGCUCAAUUGAUAACAAACAUUACAAAAAUGAGGUUACGGUUAACAAAAGAUACACCUAAUGCCAAACUUUUCAAUUGUGUCGAUGGUGUAUAUGUCACUAAUGAUCUCAUUUCUUAGGACUUCAUUUUCUUUUCUCAUGUGGGGGAGGCAGCCAUGAAUCAGUCAGUUGCUUCAUUGUUAAUCAAAGAAAAUGAGGCGAAUUUGAAAGAAUUGAUUCAGAUAGCUAAAAUGUUCUCCUCAUAAGUAUUCAUACACUUUAUGCCUAAAAUGUGACCCACUAUGAAAUACAAGACAACCCUCAGUAAAUCUCUAUUCAUAAUAUGAUCUAUAGUUCUACCCACUUUUCUACCCUUCCUGCUUCUGGGAUGUAGGGAGAGUUUGGAUUGUUUAUGAGAUUCUGGCGUAGAGUGGUUUUGAAUAAGUGGUUGGGGAUUUUGGUGAUAUGAUCCUAUGCCUAUGGCCUCGACGGGAACUUUCUUUUUUGGGUUUCUUCUGUGCUUCUCCUUCUUCCUUUGUCUCCUUCUUAUGCAAGUCAUUUUUGCUUUGGACCGUGCACGCAAAGACCCCAACAGGAAUGUCAUGUGGGCCGAAGUGACUUGAGACUAAAUUGAGUUUGUGUCACUUGGUCCAACCCACUUAAGAUCCUAAUUAAUUAAUUAACUCUAAUGUGCUUAAAUAAAUUAACUAACCUAAUUCAGAAAGUAAGUUUAUAAGAUUUAGUGUAAUAUUACAUUUUUACCAGAAUACCUUUAUUGUACACUUAUGAAUUAUAUACCCAAAAUAUCCUUAAAGCAAGUGCCACAAUGAAACAGGAGCUCAAGUGAGGGCCACUUCUGAAGUUGACUCAACUACACUCAAAAUCCAAUUCUGGCUCCCUAAACUCAACUACUUUCAAAAUAUUGGUUCUUCAAAAUCCAAUUCUGAAGUUAGACUCAACAUUCCAUUCCAUUAAAAAAAGUUAACUACACUCUAGUAUCCUAUGAAAUUACAACGAUACAAAGCUUGAGUGUAUGACCUACUAUCUAUUACAUGCAAACUCCUCAUGAAUUGAUAUUUGUAAUAUAACAAAGAAUUUAGGUAAAGUCUCUAGAAAACUUUGAAUGGAAGAGUUUAAGUGUUGAUAAAUUUUAUUUAAAAUCGAAAAAUUAGGGAUAUGUACAAAUGUUUAGACGAGGUUUAUAUUUAAUAAAAAAUAAUAAAUAAAAAUAAAAAGCCUUUAAAGAACUUUGGUAUGAAGAGUUUAGGUGUUUAUAAAUUUUAUUUCAAAUAAAAAAAAUUAGGAAUAUAUACAAAUAUUUAGACGAGAUUCGUAUUGAAUUGAAAAGAGUACAUAAAAGCGGCAAUUAGCUAAAUGGUUAAUAUGGCUUGUUGCGUGUUUGGGUGUUGAAUGGAUGAAACCACAGACAAAUAAAAGGAAAAUAAAGAGGCAUGGUGGAGAGGAGGAAUAAAUUUUGGGGACAAUAAUAUAAUUAAAUAUACACACAAAUAGAUUUUUGAGAGUUUUAGGUUAGAUAAAUAAUUGAAAAAGGUAUAUUAUUAACGUAUUUGGUAAUGGAGUUGUAUACAAAUUGGGAAUUGCCUCCAUAUUAAAAUAAUAUUAAUGCAAGAGUAUUAAGAAUGCUAAAUAAUAAUUUUAGAUAAAUAGCGCAUCAAAAUUUUUUGAACUAUGUUAUGCCAGGUAAGUUCACUGUGGUCACGUGCUUUAAAAAUUCGACUGACUUUUAUUAUAUAAGAGUUAAUAGUGCAAUAAAUCAUUUUGUAAUUCCUAAUCAAUUUGUAAUUAAAGUAUUAAAAUAUUUAAAUUUUCUAAAGUGGAUCAAUUAAUAAUAUUCUUCUAAAAUGCGAUAUGAUUUGUUCUUUGGUUUUUGAAAUAAAUUAAAAAUAUCAUAUGAUUUAUUGAUUAUUAUGUGAGUGGAUUUUAGUUCUCAAUUUAUUAUAUAUAAUGACUUUGAAACUUUGGUUAUUGGUGGCGGAUAAAUUGUUGAUCUUCACUACCUUUGACGAGGGUAGUAAUGUAGUAUAACCCUAACCAGUAAGGAUGUUAUUAGCCUUGGUACACCAUAUAUUAAAAAUCAUUCCCUCCAUCAAUAAAAUGAAUAAAUUGAGGCUAACUACCUUACGUAAGUCUCACUAUUUGGAUAUAGUGAAUCAAAGUAAAAUAUUUAUUUAUGAAAUUAUUUUGAAUACGAACCAAUAAUGCAAGUGUAUUAUAUUAUUUUAUAUUUAAAUUGAAAGUGCCAAUUUUUUUUUUAAAGAAAUAUAUCUCAAAAGAUUUAAUGUUAUAUUAUAUUUUAGCCUCCUUGUUGAACUCUCCUAGAAAACUGUAGAGUGAGAUCGAAUCAAACGAGCAGGAAUUCAAUUAUUAAAAUACUUAUUCAUUAAUAAUGCAAGUGUAUUAUAUUAUUUUAUAUUUAAAUUGAAAGUGCCAAUUUUUUUUUAAAAGAAAUAUAUCUCAAAAGAUUUAAUGUUAUAUUAUAUUUUAGCCUCCUUGUUGAACUCUCCUAGAAAACUGUAGAGUGAGAUCGAAUCAAACGAGCAAGAAUUCAAUUAUUAAAAUACUUAUUCAUUUGGCUGUAUACAAAAAUUUCAUGGAAGGGCAAAGAAGAUGUAGAUAUGAUCAGGCAUGGAUGAUGGUGUUCCCAUACAGUACUCUCACGUGAUGAACGGGGCAAGGAUUAACUAGAACACAAAAGUAUUAAACUAUACAUACAAGAUCCGUUAGGGUUUUGGCCAUUGGCUGAAGAUUGCAGUCCUGUAUAGAUCUCCAUUGAUUCUUUUGUGAUAAAUUUACAAACGUUUUCUCCAUGCUUUUGUGUCAUUUUGGUGGACCCCGGAAGAUCCAUUAUUAAAACCAGCCAUAUCAGUAAGGAAUGAUAAUAUAUUUUGGAAGGUGGGUGUACGUCUAUUUCUGAAGUGAAAAAGGCACCAUUGUUUUUUAAUGUUUAAGCGUUUAAGUUAUGGUUGAUUAAUAUUAACAAAUACGAUUCACAUGAGAGUUGGGACUAAUAUGUGAUUUCCACAAUCUUAUUUGCUUAUAAAUAGUCCCCCAUUCCUCAAACUUACACCACCACCAUCACCACCAAUGGAGGCUCCUUCUUGUGUAGUUUUGGCCCUGGUGUGGCUAGCUGCAGCAGCCCUUCUCUCAAAACUUUUCAGUUUCCGGCCAGCCCACAAGCAAAACCUUCCACCAGGCCCCAAACCAUGGCGGAUCAUCGGCAACCUAAACCUCAUUGGCCAUCUCCCCCACCUGUCCCUCCACAAACUGUCCCAAAAAUAUGGACAAAUAAUGCAGCUUCAAUUCGGGUCCUUCCCAGUUGUAGUGGCCUCGUCUCCAGAAAUGGCAAGGCAGUUCUUAAAGACAAAUGAUCACCUCUUUGCCUCUAGGCCUCAGACUGCUGCUGGCAAGUACACUGCUUAUAACUACUCCAACAUCACCUGGGCACCUUACGGUCCAUGCUGGCGCCAGGGGCGUAAAAUCUUCCACACAGAGCUGUUCAGCUGGAAAAGGCUCGAGUCUUGUGAAUAUAUUCGGGUCGAAGAAAGGCGGGCUUUCGUCUCCCGCCUCUAUGCGUUGUCAGGAAAGCCAGUCAUGCUUAAAGACCAUCUCUCUCGCGUUACUCUCAGCGUUAUAAGCAGAAUUGUACUGGGGGAGAAGUACUUCAAUGAGUCUGAAUCCGGGAGGUCAAUAGUGACGGUGGAAGAGUUCCAGGAGAUGCUGGAUGAGUUGUUCUUGCUUAAUGGUGUGUUGAAUAUUGGGGAUUGGAUACCUUGGAUUGCAUUCUUGGACUUGCAAGGGUAUGUGAAGAGGAUGAAGGCCUUGCGUGAUAAAUUUGAUAGGCUUUUUGAUCAUGUGAUUGAGAAACACAGGGCCAGAAGAGAAGCAGCGGACUUUGUGGCUAAGGAUAUGGUGGAUAUGCUUCUGAGAUUGGCUGAUGAUCCUGAUCUUGAGGUUAAGCUCGGUACUGAUGGGGUCAAAGGGCUUACCCUGGUUAGUGUUAUAUGAGUUAUGAACAUAUCCAGCCAUUCAAAUUAGUAUAUUCUAUUGAAAUCUCAUGAUAAUUUUGCUUGUUUUGUUGUUUCAUGGUCAGGACCUGCUUGCUGGUGGUACAGAUACCUCAGCUACUACUAUGGAAUGGGCAAUGUCUGAGAUCUUGAGGCAGCCAAGCAUAGCUACGAAGGCAACUGAAGAGCUGGAUAGAGUCAUAGGGAGAGACAGAUGGGUGGAAGAGAAAGACAUCCCCCAACUUCCUUACAUAGAUGCAAUUGUGAAGGAGACAAUGAGGCUACACCCUGUUGCUGUCCUGCUUGCCCCUCACCUGGCUCUUCAAGACUGCAAUGUAUCUGGCUAUGAUAUUCGCAAAGGAACCCGAGUCCUAGUAAACGCAUGGAGCAUAGGGAGGGACCCCAACAUAUGGGAUGCACCGGAGGAAUUUCGCCCAGAGAGGUUCCUAGGGAAGGCAAUUGAUGUGAACGGGCAAAACUUUGAGCUACUACCAUUUGGUUCAGGGCGGAGGAUGUGUGUUGGAUACAGGCUUGGCCUAAAGAUGAUUCAAUCAAGCUUGUCUAACAUGUUGCAUGGAUUCCACUGGAAAUUGCCUGGGGAUAUGAAGACAGAAGAGCUGAACAUGGAGGAAGUGUUUGGCCUUACAACUCCAAGGAAGGUCCCACUUGUUGCUGUCAUGGAGCCUAGACUCCCAAGUCAUCUGUAUUAGUCGUGCCUUUCGACCUAUGUUUUCUUGAUAUUUUUCAGUUGUGUGGGAUGUUUUUAAACUGUUAAUUGUAUUUCUCCUGUUCUAUAUCCAUGAAUGCAGUGGCUUCCUCCAUUGAUAACAGACCUUUGAAAAAUGAGGUUACUGAUGUUGUCAAAGGAUACACAUAAUGCCAAACUUUCAAUUAUGACAAUGGUGUAUAUGUCACUAAUGAUCUCAUUUUAUAGGACUUCAUCUUCUUUUCUCAUUUGGGGCAGGCAGCCAUGAGUCAGUCAGUUGCCUCAUCGUUAAUCAAAGAAAAAUGAGGCGAAUUUGAAAGAAUUGAUUCUAAUGACUAAAGUGUUCUUCUCAUAAAUAUUCAUACACUUCAUGCCUAAAAUGUGACACUAUGAAAUCAAGACAAAUCCUCAACAAAUCUCUAUUUACAGUAUGAUCUACAGUUCUACCAGUCAGUCUAACUUCCCCUGCUCCUGGGAUGCAGGGGAGAGUUUGGACUGUUUCUGAGGUUCUGGCGUAGAGCGGUUUCUGAAUAAAUGGUUGGGGAUUUUGGUGAUCUCAUCCUAUGCCUAUGGCCUUGAUGGGAACUUUCUUUUUUGGGUUCCUUCUGUGCUUCUCCUCCUUCCUUCGUCUCCUCCUUAGGCAAGUCAUUUUCGCUUGGGACAGUGUAAACAAAGGUCCCAACUGGAAUUUCAUUGUAGUCCUGGAGAGGCUCCAGGGUCUUAACCACAGUGCUCAUUGUUGGCCUAUGCUUUGGCCUGUGGCUCAGGCACUGGUAAGCCAAUGCAGCAGCGCUCUGAGCCCCUGCUUCUGAGUAUUGACCUUCAAGUCUUGGAUCCAUUAUGCGGGCAAGCUUCCUGGAAUCGUUCAGUUGUGGCCUAGCCCACUCUGCUAGGUUCUGCUCCCUGUUAGGCCGGGUCUUAUCCACUGAUCUUCUCCCAGUUAGUAGCUCUAAGAGCACCACUCCAAAGCUGUAAACAUCGCUCAUUGCUGUCAAAUGCCCUGAAAACAAGCAAACUUAUUAGUACUCCAAAGUAAUAUGCCCUUUUACAUUCAAUCUAGAUUGGAUUAAACCUUACUGAAUUACCUGUCAUAAUGUACUCUGGAGCAGCAUACCCUUGUGUCCCCAUUACUCGGGUUGAAACAUGUGUGUCAUCACCUUCAGGGCCGUCCUUGGCUAGACCAAAAUCUGAUAAUUUGGGAGUAUGAUCCUGAAAAUAGUAUCACCAUAAGGUCAUUGAUCACAAAGAAAGCCAACAACAAUGCUGAAAGUACUCUCAAACAAGGGGGGAGCAGAAGCUUACAGAGUCCAACAAGAUGUUUGAAGCCUUAAAAUCUCGAUAUAUAACAGGUUUCUCCGCUUCAUGGAGGAAAGCUAAACCCUUUGCAGCCCCAAGUGCAAUUUUCAUUCUUGUGGACCAUGGAAGAGAAACAGAGUACCCUGCAGCAGAUGAGCGUUCACAUUUAUUCCUCCAUUUGAGUGUUUGAAAAAGGAGAAAACGAUUUCCCAACGGAAGAAAUUAAGACAAAAAGCAAAGAAUUCUUCUUCCCCAACCACGCAUACCAAACCCCCCAUAUGAGCAAGAAAAAUUCAACAGCUAAGAUUAUUUCUACUGUUAUACACUUUCAUAUGCAAUGAGAACUAAAUAAAUAUCAAAGACUAUGACAUUUUGGAAACCAGAUAUAGAAUUUUCCAAUCUAGAAAAACGAAAAUGGUGGUGGAAAAAUGGAGAGCAUACUUCUGAAGAGCUGAUUCUCCAAGCUUCCUCGCGGCAUGUAUUCGUAUACCAGGAGCCUGUGCUCGUCCUCGCAACAAUACCCGAUCAGCUUGACAAGAUGCGGGUGCCUCAGUUGCCCGAGAAAAAUCACUUCUGUCUGCAAUCAAAGGAAGGAAAAAACACCAUUUCAUCACCAACCCAUUAAGGAAAAUUCAAUACUGGAAAAUAAAAAGAACGAACUUGAACUCACCAGCCAUUCUCGAUGGCCCUGCAAGCCUUCCAAAUCCAAAAGCUUGACAGCCACGGGCUGAGCCUUCAAACCAGGGCGGAGCUUGUCAUCAAUGAAGCCCUUGUGGACGGGGCCGAACCCGCCUUCUCCGAUGAAGUUGUUGGAGGAGAAGUUCUGGCAGAUCACCUUCAGCUCAGUCAGCGUGAACACAUGAAGGUUUGACCCCAUCAGAGAGGUGGACAGAUCCUCAGACAGCGUCGACCCCGGAUUACUCAAAUCCGAUAUCGAAAUCCUCUGAAACGAGGUCUGCUUCGCCACCACUGCCGCCUUCCUCCGCUUGGACGCCAUCUUUUCCGACCCGUAACAUGCCGGGAAAACCGAUCUCCACGUGAUCUUCUUCACUGCCAUCUCUCUCCUGUAUAUUUUCUAUACCACCAGCCUACCUCCUCUCGCCUUUUUCUCAAUCAAAAACUAUCUCAGGAACAAAGAAAAUGGGCCGAUGGAAAUGGGAAUGGGUUCAAUGAUCUAAAUAUGGAGAAGGGGUGGGGGAAUAUUCAAAUCACCACCUGCUCUCUAGACUCUAUACAAGGCGCACACUGAGAAGAGGUUUCCAACUCGUUUCUUUUAUUUUAUGUAUUUAUUUUUUCAUUUUAAUUUCUUCCUCCACGCAGCAUGAAAUCUUCAACAUUUCUAUUUACAUGAUGAUAAUGAAAGUGGUGCGUAGAUUUUUCUUUUUCUCUCUUUCCUUUUUUUUCGUUUUUAAAAUGACGUUAUUGACCUUGAGAGUCUUUGACUUUUUGUUGGUAGACAAAUAGAGACCUGGUUUUUGGGUGUGUUUGGAAACUUUCCAAAGGGCCUUUUAUAUUCAACACGCUUUGGAGGAUUCGAUUGGAGAUGAACAAAAAGUCUUUAUCGAAUAAUAAUUAUUAAUUAUUAUUGUUGGCCUUUUAUUUUCUUUAUACCAUAAGGGAACAAGUGUGUGUGUGUGCGCCCUUUAUAAGUAGUAAUCACCAAAUGUCAAGACAAUGUAUUUUGAUUCAUGACCCUUCAAUCAUAUAUGAUGAGAUAAAAAUAAAAAAUUAAAAUUAAAAUAUAAAAUAAUGAAACUUGAAUACAAUUUAUAAAAAUAUUUGUAAGUUGUAAAAUAAUGAGACUUUUUAAUAUAAUAUUUCACAAUUCUUUAAUGUAUUUCGAUACAAUACAUUGCUGACACGAUAUCAAAAAUCAUUUUUUCAUUAUUAUAUUAAAAAAAUCAUUGCCUAAUAAUCUAAAAACAAUGACAUAUCUUAACUUUCUUUGUAUCCAAUUCUUUGAAAUUUUGAAUUUAUUUUUUAUUUUUAUUUUAUAAAAUAAGAAAUUAGAUUUGUUGGUCAAAAGCUAAUGGGACAAAUUAAAAAUAAAUUAUUUUAUAUAUAUGGAAAAGCACUUUUUCAUAUUAUAUUAAAUAUUUUUAUCAGUUUUAUUUGUAUAAUAAGAUAUGAAAACCAUGGUUAUAAUAUAAUAUACCAAGAAUAUAAUUAGAUUAUAGAAAAAUAAUAAUACAAAUAAUAUGAUAUGAAUAUGAGCGGGCCUGAGAUUUCAAUAUGUUGCCCCACCCCCACCUUCUGAAUUUUUCCUAGUACGAUAAUGCUUUAAAAAAAUGAAAAAGAUAUUUAUUUUCAGACAUAUUUUGAUGGUAAUAAAAAAUGAAAAUAAUAAUAAUAAUCAGAGAAAAAUAGAGAGGGAUAAGAAAUCCAGCUGUUGAUAGAGAUAAGGGCAAUUCCGUCAACAAGGAAUGGCUUGUACUGGCAUGGUUCCGUAUCUUCUAGAAAAACUUCUCCAAUAUAAAACCACACAAUCCAGUAAAAUUACACAACCACCCUCCAAGGUUCACUAGAAUUCCGAAACUGAUCACAGCCGUCCCUUCCACUGACUCCACCAAUCAAGCACAAUUUAGACGAUCCCCGUUCUCCCAUCUCCUUGACCUCAAUAUCACGGUGGGGUCCACAAAGUGGUAGGUGAAGCGUCACCCAAACACCUCGUCAUUAUUGCGUCCAUGUCAGCAAAGAAACUUGGGUACCUGUCCCCAAUCGAGGGGUAUUUUCGUCAAAGUUAGAGUUGGUAGGGUGGGGCCCAUGGCCCUCUUCGUCAUUUCAAUAUGAAAAUAGCGGCGACGGCAUCCACAUUGAAGUGUAAUGCUAAGUCUUAAUAGGACCCGAUCAUUCACCAUUACAGCCGUCUGUAAUUCGUUUUGAAAUGAUAGUUUAUUUUAUUAUUUAAAUUAAAUGUUUUUUUACUAUUUCCAUUUUUCACUUUAUGAUUAAAAUAGUUAAAACUAUCUCCUUUCCUUUACUUUAAAUAUUUAAAAAUAAAUAAAUUACAGCAUGUGGGUUUAAUUUUUCUCAACUCAAUAGGAGUUUAUCAACUUGAUAAAUAAUUUUCGAGAUGUGAAAAAAAAUUAUAGAAAACAACUUAAAGUUUAAAAAAAAAAACGAUUUCAAAACAUUGCGACAAACUCCUAUUAUAAACUCCUAUGGAGUUUACAAUCAAUUGUCUUAUCAUAAUUAUUUUUUACAAUCUUUUAAAACAUUUUGAACAUGUUUAAAAAAUUAUUAAUAAAAGAAAGGGUUUCAAAACUCGUUAUCAGUAAAUAAUAAGCAACACAAACUUCUGUGUUUACCCUAAUACGAGCCAAACGCAAGUCACUCUUAUUGAAGACAGCACGGGAUGUCGUGUUAGCAAUAACACGAAAAAAUUUGUCUUCAACAAAAAAUCUUUUCAAUUAUAGAAAUAAUUUAUAUGUAAAAUCUGUAAAUUAAAAGAAGUCCUGAGAUGAGAAGAUUUUUUUCAUAGCACAAUAAUCGACAUUUUAUAUUUAAUUAAAUUAUUGUCAUCUUAAGAUUGUAAUUUUAAAUAUAUGACAUUAAUUUCAUAUUUAGUUUUAACUUAACUAAAAGUAAGCAUUUUAAACGAGGCCAUUACUGUAUUUUUGGCAUUAUUAGCUCAAAAAAAUGAUGAUACCACAAACAUAUUAUAUUGAUUUUUUAUGAAAUCAAUUUGAGUAGUACCAAAAUAAUGAUAACUGAUUAAGGUUACCAAGACAUGUUCAAGUCAUAGAACAUGAUUGCUAAUAGGGAAGAAGGAUUAAAUUACUAAAAUUCACUUAAUAGCAUCCACUAAUCCUUUAGUGGUGGGCUAAGCCUGGUGAACUCAUGGUCUUAGGGCAGUCAAGAGAAUCCAACCAAUCAAUACAAGGUAGCCAAGUUAGUGGUUAAUUUUCAAAAUAAUCCAAUCCUAACUCAAACCCCAUCUUAUAAUGAAACCGAACUACUCACUAUUUUAUGAUUAAGUCCACUUCCAUUCACCCUCAGUUCAAAUUGGGUUGGCUAACAAUAAUGUUUACCAUUUCUAUAACAACGCACUAUGCACUUUGGCUCCAAGUCUUCGUUGAGUUAGUUUUGAAAUAUUUUCAAAUGAGUUUUCUAACUUUUUAAUUGAAAAUGAUUUUUUGAUAGUUAGUUUUGGAAACAUAUUAUUUUUCCAAACAAAUUUAAAAUGUUUUCAAGUUUUGUUUUUUUCUUUAGAGUGUUCUAAAAACCAAUUAAAAAUAUAAAGAAUGCUUCGAAAACGUUUACAUUAUCCAUAAAUGCAGAGCAUCGUCAUGAAUAACAAGUUGAGAAAACUCUUUUUUGUAUAUAUUUGUAUUUUUAAACAAAAUUUCAUAUUUUGUAAUAACUGAGAAAUGAUUUUAAAAUCAUUCAAAACAUUUUUCAAAAAUUGGAUUUUCAAAUGUCAUCAAACAUAUCCCAAUUAGUUUCUUCACUUUUAUAACGUUUCUUACUAGACUUUCACAAGCAACAAUGGCCGAACGUAUUAAAAAUGAUUAAUUAAUCGUAAAUAUAAAAGUAUUGCUAGGGUUUAUCCAUUGAUUUUUUACCAAUCACACAUGGGUUUGACAACGUAAUCCUCAUUCUCCAAAGGUCAAAAAAAUUAGGAGCAAAUUUGAACAGAUCACAACCAACCUCACCUUCCCUAUGGAAAUUUACCAAACAUUCAAAGAAUCAAAGUUUUUGAAAAAAAAAAGGUUUUCUUAGCUUGGUUGACUCUACUUCUUGAUCAACAAAUGGGGAUAACAUGGAAGAAAAGUCUUGUGCAAGUGUGAAAGACAGCUCAAUUCCAUGUCAACAUUACCAGAUACUUCUAAUGUUAAACUUGGUGUCUUCAACUACUUGAUUGGAAGAUCUGCAUGUGGUUCAUAUACUCAGUGGUAUUUUCAACUCUCUUAAUAAGUCUCUUGGGCUGAAAAAAUCUAAAAAUGUAGGCAUGGAUGCAAGGAACAUAGUAUGUUGAAUCAGCCCAUUAAUUCGCUGUGUAUGGGUCAUUGGUCAAUUUUCCUUUACGCGUACUAGCUCCUUCUAUAGAUGGGUCUUAUCUACACGUACAAGCGUAUUUCAAGUCAUGCAUGGAGUCACGUGAGACCCACGUCAUAUCCAACACCCUUUUCAUCAACUACACCAUAUGUGGAAUAUAUACCAUCAUUUUGAAUGUGUUUAUCCAAAUAAUGUUUCCUUUGAGUAGUAUAUAUGUAAAACCAAGAAUAUCUUAGUAGUAGCAGCUUACGGAAAUUAUAGAGAUAUCAAUGGUUAGAUUUUAUGAAAAUGAGGAUGAAAAUUUGGAGAAAAAAAAAAAGGAUAAAAUAAAAAUUAAUCAGAACUUAUAAAAAUGUUAAAAAAAAUUCAAGAAAUGAUAAAAUAACAAUAAUAUGUAUAUUUAGGUUGUUUUAUUAAAAAAAAAAAAAAUAACAAUAUAUGCAUGUAUGAUCAAAUUCGUGAGAUUGGAUAAUAAUUUGCAGAAUUUAAAAAAUACAUUUAAUACUUAAUUUUAAUGUAUUUAAGGAUAUAAAAGAAAUGAUGAUAAUAUAUACAUUUAUAUAUUUUUUUGUAUUUAAUUACAAUAUAAAAAAUACAAAGAAAAUUUUGUUACUAUUCAUGUUGAAGAUUUUAUUUUAAUUUUAAGAAGCGUUCGAUCGGUCAUUCAAUUGGAAAAGUUACCAGUUUACGGUUCACUGGUCAGAUCGAUAGUCGAACUGUGUCGAACCGGUGAUGUUAUAAAUAUAUAUUUUUUAUAUGUUAUUAAAAUUAAAAAUUUUAAUAAAUAAAAAUAAUAAAUUAUAUCUAAAUUUGAAUAAUAUUUACUAAGGUGGUGUUUGUUUUUUUGGCUUUUUGCUGAAAAUCAUUUAGUUUUAAAAUUUAGGUUGUUUGUUUUUUUACUUUUUCAUGACUUAUUAUAAACUUUUUACUAAAUAGAAAAAGCCAAAAUAUGUGACUUUUUCUAAAUAGAAAAAAUAACACAAUAGUUUUUUUUACUUUUUAAUACUUAAUAGAAAUAAAAUACUACAAAAACAAACAACCUAAUAUUUAAUACUAUUAAGUAUUAAGGUUCUAUUUAGAAUUAAGUAAAAAAACAAACACCACCUAAGUUUUUUUAUAAAGUUUUUUAUCUGUAAAUAUUAAUAAUCCAAUAUUUUCAAUAAAUUUAAAUUUUAAUAUACAAUAAAUAAAAUAAAAAUGAAAAUUUUAAAUAUUAAACCUAUCAUUAUAAUUAUAAUCAACAAAAAAUUAAGAAAUUAAAUAUUAAGAUAUUAAAUAUAAAACAUAAAAUUAAAUUUUAAAAAACAAAAAUGGAAGGAAGGCAAGGCGCAGGCACUAUGUUUUGACUUUUAGGAUAGGAUAGGAGAGGAGCGGGGUGGGAGAAGGGGGGGGGUUUUCCAACGCACGGGUAGGAGCGAUGGCGGGGGUUGGUUUCCAGCGCCUUGCGCCAGUGGGGGGUGGUUUCCAGAGCCUUUGGGAGGGCGUGGUUUCCAGUGUCGGGAGGUGGGGAGCAAGGCAUUCCAGCGCGCGUUGGGGAAGGGGGCGGCGGGGGUGGUUUCCAAUGCCUUUGGGGGGCGAUUUCCAGCGCCAGGGGCAGGACGACACUCCAGACAACAAUGGGAACAGCCACAUGGAUAUUGGAAGGAAAAGAAAAAAAAAAAAAAACCGAACGAUUCGUCCUGUUCAUCAAUCGGACCUCUGGUUUGAUCACUUUCCGAUCUAAUUAUCCAGACCUGACCGAGAUCAGACCUAAUUUAAAACCAUGACAAAAACCUAGUAAAAUCACAAAAAGUCAACUAUUUUCCAUGGGUUGACUUUUCUCUUCCUUUUCCAAAUUUGUGGAUCUCUAAAUCCCAAUAUUUUCUUGGUGAAAUUUUAAUCCAUUGCAAAUAUUAGGUUUUCUUAUUAAUGUUAGUUUUAGAAUUGAAAAUUUUAAGUUCUCAUUGCAAUUUUCUUCGAAGUUAAUUUAAAUUUGUCCUUAAAAAAAAAAAGUUCACAUUACCUUUAUAUUAUCUAUUUUGGUCCAUUAACCAUAAUGACUUUAAAAUUGGUCUUGCCAAAUUCCCAAGGGGGUGUGUGGAAUAUGACAAUCACCGAUAUAUUACAACCAUUCAAAACUUCAUAUGAAUAAAUAGUCUAUUAUCAACAUCGCAUUCAUACACCCUCCUCAUGAUCCAUAGGUUCAUAGAUGGAUAAAUUCUACAUGUUUACUUGCAAUAUGGUAAGUUCUGAUAAAGAUAUUGCUUACUUUAAAUUUAUCAAUCUUAAAUCCACUUACACAUUAGUCUUUUUUUAGUGUUGAAAACUUUCUCCCUCUAGUGAUACGAAUUUAUAUUGGAAUACUAUUCUACAUAGACAUUAUUCAUUUUAGCUCACCAACCAUUUUUUUUUCUAGGUGACAUAGACUAUCAUAUUCAACCUCCCAUAUAAAAAUAACUUCCUCAAAACAUGAAGUUAAUAGGUAAUGUUUCACAUACAUUCUAACUUGGGGAUUGACUUUUAGUAUCAUUGUGAUAAUCCAUAUUAAUAUUGUCGGUUUCGAGUUCCUUUGUAUCUAAAUCAAAUAAUAUUUAUAUAAAGCCAUUACAAUAGUAGUAGAUUUGAUUUUUAACCAAAAAUGUCAUAUGCCAUGACAAGGAUAUUGCCUCUAUACGGGAUAUUGAAUGCGAUAUCAAGUGCCACUCUAUAAGAUAUAUAGAGGCAUUUUAAUGGAACAAUUAGGUUUAGUAGGUCUAGGCCCAUGGGAAUGAUAUUAAUUUGGGGUUUUGGAUUGGAUGAACUUGAGUUGGGUUGAGUUUUAAAAGCAACAAACUAGGCCCAUGGGCUCCAUAAGCCUGGUGUGACCAUAUGAUUGGGCCCAAUCAGAUUGGAAUCUUGGCCAUCACACUCAUUGGCCCCACACCAGAUCCCAAAACCCUCAUCUUUAUUAAAAUGUGACAAGGACCCAUUUGACAUUAAUGUCAUUCAUAGCCCUACAUCAUUGCAAAUGAGGCCUGAACAUUGACACACAUUAGAAUAGAACACCACAAAAAUCAAAUGGCUGUAGGCCAUUCAACCAAAUCUAAUUCUGCAAGGAAAACUAAGUAUGGGGUCAUUACAUUGCUUGGUAUGUAAUAAGGAGUGGGAAUAGACGUCUCAUUCAUUUUCUCUUUUAUUCUUAUAUUUGGAUAAAUGUUAAAAAGAUAGAAAUAAAAUAAAAAAUUAUUCGGAUUUGAAUUCAUCAAAAGCAUGUGGUAUUUUGAUUCAUUAAACUCAUUUAAUAAUAUAAAAUAACCUAAAUUUACUAUUUUACCAUUUUAUCUCAUUCUUCAAGUUCGAUGCUUAUCUUCUUUACAAAACUAGAGACUCAUUCAUCAUCCACUUUUAUGCAAUAAGUGAUUUUCCCAAUCAAUCAAACCUUCUACGAUAUUUAGAAAAAAAAUUUCAAUUUCUAAUUUCUAGGGUUUUUAAUGAAAUUUGAAUUCUUUUAUUUCCUCUUUUGGAAAUAGGAAAAAUAUUUGCUAGCUUUAAGAAUUUAAAUAUUACAAAAAAAACUCUCAAAUUUUAUUUUUUUAAAAUAAAAAUAAAAUAAAAAAUUAAAAUUAUAUAGAAGGAUAUCAUUGUAAAUUUUUUUUUUUCAUUUCUUUUCCUAUUAUUAUCAAACAUUGGAAUGGAAACAAAUAAUCAUUUCAAUCUUGCAUUCCUAAGUUCAUCCAAAUAUUAGAAAUGGAAUCAUCAAAUUAUUUUCCAUGUACUAGAUGUAAAAGUUUUUGUAUGUUAUCUAUCCGGUCAAUUUAGAUUUUUCCUCCCUUAGAAUUUGACCACCCCCCCCCCCCCCCCCCCCCAAGUCCUACAACAAUCCAAAAUCAUUUUGUUUUACAUCAAGAUAUUAGCCACACACUUUUGAAAUACAAAAUCAUUUUGCUUUCUACCAUGGAAAAAGGUUGGCCAAUAAUUAUCAAGAAAGUGCAAUACAAAUAAACACCCUUUUGUCACCCCUUCCAUCAUAUGGUUUGUCCUUUACCUAAUAAUAACAAUAAUGGGGGCCGAACUAGUAUGACUNNNNNNNNNNNNNNNNNNNNNNNNNNNNNNNNNNNNNNNNNNNNNNNNNNNNNNNNNNNNNNNNNNNNNNNNNNNNNNNNNNNNNNNNNNNNNNNNNNNNAAAAAAAUUUCAAUUUUUAAUUUUUGGGGUUUUUAAUAAAAUUUGAAUUUUUUUUUUUCCUUUUUUGGAAAUAGGAAAAAUUUUUGCUAGCUUUAAAAAUUUAAAUAUUCCAAAAAAAACUUUCAAAUUUUUUUUUUUUAAAAAAAAAAUAAAAUAAAAAAUUAAAAUUUUUUAGAGGGAUUCCUUUGAAAAUUUUUUUUUUUCAUUUUUUUUCCUAUUAUUUCCAACCAUGGGAAGGGAAACAAAUAAUCUUUUCAAUUUUGCAUUCCAAAGUUCUUCCAAAUUUUAAAAAGGGAAUCUUCAAAUUUUUUUCCAUGUACUAAAUGUAAAAGUUUUUGUAUGUUAUUUAUCCGGCCAAUUUAGAUUUUUCCCCCCUUAAAAUUUGCCCCCCCCCCCCCCCCCCCCCCCCAAUAAAGAAAAUGAAAAAAAAAAUGAUAACCAAUCAAACUAAUCCACUUGGACUCUUAACCAAUCAAACUAAUCCACUUGGACUCUCACUUUUUUAUUUGAAUUUUUUUAUAUUUAUAUUUAAUUAUUUAAUUAUUUGAAUUUACAAUUCAAAUUUGAAGUUGGAUCAAUACCUAACCGAUACCUAUUCAAUACUUUUAAUAUUUUCCAUGUACUAGAUGUGAAAGUUUUUGUAUGUUAUCUAUCCGGUCAAUCUAGAUUUUUCCUCCCUUAGAAUUUGACAUGAUAUUAACCAACCACACACCAAGUCCUACAACAAUCCAAAAUCAUUUUGUUUUACAUCAAGAUAUUAGCCACACACUUUUGAAAUACAAAAUCAUUUUGCUUUCUACCAUGGAAAAAGGUUGGCCAAUAAUUAUCAAGAAAGUGCAAUACAAAUAAACACCCUUUUGUCACCCCUUCCAUCAUAUGGUUUGUCCUUUACCUAAUAAUAACAAUAAUGGGGGCAGAACUAGUAUGACUGUCCUCUUCCAAAUCACAUAGGGACAGAAUCAUAUAAUAGUUAGGAACACAUGGCUGUUGAAGAGCCCCACCCCUUUUUAUCAUCAAAUGUGUCCACUCAAUUUAUAUAUCAUCAUAUCUUUUUCUUGUAUUUCUAGAAAUAAUUAUUCAUUGGCUCAACUUUUGCAAGUCUUUUUCUUUUGGGGUUAUGGGUCUAGUCUCUUUUGUUAUUGAGAGUAUCUUAUAUUCAUUAUUAUUCAUUGAAAAGAAAAAAAAAAAAAACCUUCUCAAUAGAGGCGGAUCCAAACAAGACCCGAUAUGCCUAAUUUAUACUUCUUACAAGGGAAAUCGAACUCUUCUAGUAAUUGGAUUAAAGUAUAUGUCUAUUGUAGUUCGCAAAUUUUACAUAUCCUUUAAAAGUUGCCAUUUCAACAAAAAAAAGAAGAAGAAGAAUUGUCAAGCUUUAUUUUAUCCUAUUUUUAUUUUUUGUUUGGAGAUUGAAUGCAAAUAAGAAAAAUUGAUAUGAAUUUAUUUGAAAUUCUUAUCAAAUUUAACUCAAAAAUUAAAUGAUUAGAAAAUAAAUUAUUUUAUAUGACAAGGAGAGUAAGGGAUAACAAUAUUCUUAAAAUGUAUCUAUCAUAUAAGUAAAAUAGUCUAAAAAGAAAAAAUAAUGAAAGAUUUUAAUGACUUACUUUAUUGAUUUAUUUAUUAAUAUUUUUGUUUUAUUUUUGUCACCUUUUAAGAAAUUUGUUUAUAAUGACUUUUUUUUUAUUGAAUAAUUCCCACCAAAAUCAAAAAUCAAAUAAGCAAUUUCCCUUUUUUUUAUUAAUAUCUUGGUAUAAUAAAAGGCUGUAUUUUGUUUUUAACAAAAAAAAAAAGUUUUAUUGCUUUUUUUUUCCUUCUAAAAAACAAGAGAGUGAGGUGUACCUGUACCGGCACCAACCGUUAUAACAGUCCAGUGCCGUGGUCGUUACAAACUGAGAAUUCCACGUCAUCAGCUACGUAAGCAAGAAACAAUGGCAUAGGCCCACUAGCAGCCAAUAAAAGAAAGGUAACGCUGUCGAUUCGAUAGUUCACGAACCAAUCUCCUCCUUUAAAGCCCAAUCCAAUCCCCCGACGGCCCAAAAGCUCCGGAAGUAAGAAAAAUGGCUCGGCUCUCCGUCGUCGCCGCCGUCCUGAUCCUGCUCUGCGCCGUCGCUUCCGGGGAGGCUGACCAUCAUUUCCGAUCAAGCUUCGAUGAAGAGAACCCAAUUAGACUGGUAUCGGACAGCAUACGCGACUUGGAAUCGUCCGUCCUCCGGCUGAUCGGGGACACGCGUCACGCUCACUCCUUCGCGAGCUUCGCUCACAGGUUGGUUUUCUCUGUUCUCGGCGGCCGAUCCUUGUGAAUCGGACUUUUGUAGAUAGGAUCUCUCAGUUUUGGUUUUUUAGUUCAACUGACAAAGUGGUCGGGGGUGCACUUUCAGGUAUGGGAAGAGUUACAAGACGGUGGACGAGAUUAAGCUGAGAUUCGAGAUUUUCUCGGAGAAUUUGAAACUCAUCAGAUCCACCAACAGAAAGGGCUUGCCUUAUACUCUAGCUGUUAAUCGUAAGUUUCUUCCUUUUCUUUUUUUUCUUAAGCUGGAUUCAGCCGUCCGAUCGGACGGUUCCGCUGACCUCCGGGCGGUGGGUAGAUGCGAUUGUAGAGAAUAUUGUAUAUUGUUGACCUUUUAGAGCGGUUGGGUUAUAUCCAAUCAUAGCCUGACAUGUUAGCAAAAUUCCUAGGGGAAUUCGCUUUCGAUGGUUACUUUUGUAGAUCAAUUUGAUGUUUGGUUAGUGGAAUUUAAUGUUUGCUUUGUGGGAAAAAGAAAAGUCGAUGAAAAAUUCUGACAGGUGUUGGUUGUUGUUUUGGUGUCCAAAACACUGUCUUUGGCUCUAUUAUCAAUUGACUGUACUGUUUCCUGGAAUUCAAAAUAAUGCAAAACAUGAGAUGCGAGUAGCAUAUUCCAUAGCAAAAAGUAGCUUUGUACGAUUCCAAAUGGACUGGUUGAAUAAGUUCACUCAAUCAUGUGGAUUUUGUUCAGAAGAAUUUUUUACUUUUGAAUCAAACAGAAAGUAGUGUAUGUAGGAAGAUGAAAUGAAUACCCUGAGGUUGAGAGAGUAGCCCACCAUCAAUUUACUUUUCUGCAAAGAAGUAACCCAAUUCUUCUGGUAAUUGUUUGAUACACAGAGUUCGCUGAUUGGACCUGGGAAGAGUUCCGCAGACACAGGUUGGGAGCUGCUCAGAACUGCUCUGCCACCUUGAAGGGCAAUCACAAGCUAACUGACGUUAUCCUUCCUGAGACGGUAAUAGUAGUGAGAAAUUAAUUAGUGUUUAGCAUUUGAUUUUUGAGUUUUAGCGAAAAAUUCUGUUCGGAUGUUCUAGUUCAUGCAAUCAAAUGAUUGAUCAACAUACUCUAGUUUGAGGUGAAAGACCAUUUUAAUAUUAUAAUUUUCUGAAGUUACAAACCCUCAAGGGCAAGCAUAAUAGUACCUUGAAUGUAUAGAACAUCUAUCCCUAUCUGUGAUAGGUUUUAACUUCUGAAUUUAACCAUUGAAGAUUUGUGAUUCAAUUUUAUGUUUGGGAACGGUGUUAAAUGUAAAGGAUAAUUAUCAUAUUUUUGAAAAUUUUAAUUAAAUAAAUAAUUUUCCCAUGUCGAUUUUAGUAUUCCUUAUUCUUCAGAAGACAGAUAAAUUAUGGUGAUAUUCAAAUACUCUUAAAAGUUGCAUUUGACGUUUGAAUCCUGUUUUUAGUAUUUGAGAAGGUCUCAUAAACAGGGCUUAUAUCUUCUGUUUAGCUGAUAAAUUUUUUAUGAGUACAAUCUCAUAAUAGUGUUUCUGUGUUGACAUCUGCAGAAAGAUUGGAGAGAAGAUGGCAUAGUCAGCCCAAUCAAAGAUCAAGGUCACUGUGGAUCUUGCUGGACUUUCAGGUGGGCUUGAGUUAAGAUUAGAAUAUGCAAUUUACUGAGAUAAGGCACUAAACCAUUACUCUGAUCAUGAUCUAAAUCUUGAAUGCUUGUCUACUGCAGCACCACUGGAGCUCUAGAGGCAGCUUACGCUCAGGCAUUUGGGAAGGGGAUCUCUCUGUCUGAGCAGCAGCUUGUGGACUGUGCCGGAGCUUUCAAUAACUUUGGAUGCCACGGGGGAUUGCCAUCCCAAGCUUUUGAGUACAUCAAAUACAAUGGUGGCCUUGAUACUGAGGAAGCAUAUCCUUACACUGGACUAGAUGGCACCUGCAAAUUUUCUUCAGAAAAUAUUGGUGUUCAAGUUCUCGACUCUGUGAAUAUUACCCUGGUAAGUUUCAUGAACAAUUUUCUUCUACUUCUCUUAUUGCAUGUACUUGAUACAAUAAAAUAAGAGAAAUACUCCUGUCUAUGUAGAGCUAGCAGAACUGGAUCCUGAUUUUCCAACAUAUCCGAAUUUCCCAGUUUUUUUCAGGGUUGGAUUUGCCACUGUCACCUUAAUAUUGAUCCAAUCUACUUGAUCAAAUUUAACCUGAAACCCAAACCAUUGCUUACUCCCAAUGCUUCCAUCUUCUUUGUACUGUUCAUUCCUAACUCAGGUGGUGUUUGUUUUUUAGCUGAAUAGAAAAAGCCAAAAUAUUUGACUUUUUCUAUUCAGCUAAAAGUACCUUAUUGAUGUUAACCAACAUCACUAAAAUGAACUUAUUAUCAAUAAAUUUAGUUAAAUUAUAUUGAUCGAUGUAAAUGAAUUACUUUUAGUUGAAUAGAAAAAGUCAAAUAUUUUGGCUUUUUCUAUUCAGUCAAAAAACAAACACCACCUCAGUCUAAUAUAAAACAAGUAGUUUUGCUGAUCAAAUUUCAUCAAUUUCAUUUUUUGCAUUUAGUAACUAGAUCAUCUCAACUUCCCACUCCACCCCAAUAUUGGAAUAGGGUGCAGUCUCAUUUACAUUUACACUAGAAACACAACAGCACUUAACUAAUAGGCCCAUUAUGCAGGAGUUAAAAGUUUUCUUCAGAUGCUCUACCCUUCUGUCUUCUAAUUUAAAAGAUGAAUGCAGGGUGCUGAAGAUGAGUUAAAGCAUGCAGUUGCAUUUGUUCGUCCAGUGAGUGUGGCAUUUGAGGUGGUCCAUGAUUUCCGAUUUUACAAGAAAGGAGUUUACACAAGUGGAACUUGUGGCAGCACUCCCAUGGUGAGUUUUUCUCAUUGGAAAUAUGAUAUUUUCUAUACCCUAUCGGGUGAACAUCCCCAAAACAUUGUGUUUAUCAAAUAGGAAAAGUUUGGUAGAUUUUAAUUGAGAUUCAUGAAGCAUUCAUUUCUAAAGCAAGAACAAUACUAAGAGCCUUAUAUAGAUUUCUAGAAAGUAAGUAAUUCAAAGUAGUUGUAGGUUUGAGCGGCAUCUCAUGGUCACCUCAUUUUUUCAAUCUGUUUGUUUUGUGUUGUAUCAAAAUGUAUGCACAUGAAGACGUAUCACCCAAUCAUGGGUACUUAUACAUGUUCUUUGACAUCAGACCCUCUGUGCCCUAUAGAGAGAGAUGAUGUGGUAUCGUUCUUUCAGACAUUAAUGGAUUUUAUUUGGCAGGAUGUGAACCAUGCUGUUCUUGCAGUCGGGUAUGGAGUUGAAGAUGGUGUAGCAUACUGGCUCAUCAAGAACUCAUGGGGAGAAAACUGGGGCGACAAUGGCUACUUCAAAAUGGAGUUGGGCAAGAAUAUGUGUGGUAAGUUUCCACGCGUAGACUAGACUGUUUAAUGCUUUCAAAUGAUUGCUUCUUAGCAUCCUUGAAGGUUAAUUAAGCCAUCCAUAAAGUUAGAACCUGAAACUGAAA
Molecule: long non-coding RNA, 33770 nt
Filed under: Vitis vinifera (wine grape)
Lineage: Eukaryota; Viridiplantae; Streptophyta; Magnoliopsida; Vitales; Vitaceae
Description: long non-coding RNA (VVIN_LNC003365)
Source: RNAcentral